Long non-coding RNA from Silurus meridionalis, 435 nucleotides. RefSeq lists it as uncharacterized. NCBI's taxonomy places the organism in Eukaryota, Metazoa, Chordata, Actinopteri, Siluriformes, Siluridae. The transcript has 3 exons. The record is from RefSeq and is a predicted model, not a curated record.
UUCUUCUUCUCAUCCACACUCACACUCACAGCAGCUGACAGUGUGAGGUUGGUGAAUGGUGGAAGUCGCUGUGCUGGGAGAGUGGAGGUUCUUCAUGAAGGACAGUGGGGAACAGUGUGUCAUGGUAACUGGGAUAUGAGAGAAGCUGCAGUGGUGUGUAGAGAACUGCACUGUGGAGAAGCUGUAGAUGUACGUUAUCCAGCUCACUUUGGAGAAGGAUCAGGACCAAUCUGGAUGUUUGAUGUGGGCUGUAGUGGAUCAGAGUCGACACUGAAGAACUGUAGUGCAGCAGAUUGGGGAGUGAAUUCCUGUAAGCAUGGUGGUGAUGCUGGAGUCACCUGCUCAGGGAAUGAAACUGAGAAUAAUGAAGGCUCUAUUCCAGCUGAUCAGAAGACAGUUAUAAGAACAGGUAUGAUAAUAAUAGACAAUCAUUUC